AGUGGUAACCGUCUGAGACCUGCAUCACUUUGGGCUUUCCUCCCACAUUAAGCUGACACGCCGUGAUAUAACUGGAAUACUGUUAGAAGUGGCGUUCAGCCCAACUCACUCACUUACUUAAUUAUUGUGCUGGGAACAUUCUUUAUGAUAACUCUCUGUCACAUCAUGAGCUAUAAAGUCGUGGUAGGCCCCAGUAUUUAUGAUUCCUCAUAACAAAAAUGGGAUAUUUUAUUUUGAUUUUGUGUAACAGAAAAUAUCAUAUGCAGAUUCAAGUACCAUAUACCUUGAAAUCUUUUUUAUUGGAAUAUGCAUUGAAUGCAUGUACAUUUGGAUAAGCCCCCAAGUGUAUAACUGUGUGAUACAUGCUGCAUGUCCACGAUACUGGGCAAUAACUGACUACAAGGCAGGGAGACUUACUCUUUUGGCGCCAAAUCGGCCAAAAAAGUGUAAUCGAUAUGCAAUCCUUUACACUGUAAGUGCAAAGUCUUAUUCGAAGCAGCUGUUGAAUAUGUUCUUCAUGUUUUUGUUUGUUUAUACAAUUAAGUUAAAAUAAGACUCCUUCAGCACAAGAUGAAACACAGACCUUGUUAUUUUAAAUGCAAACUAUUAUCCAAAUGGCAGCUAAUUUUAGCAUGCACUAAUUGCUUUUUUAUCCAAUGUUGCAGCAUUUUAUUUCACUAUGAUAUGAAUGUGGCACAUUAUACAGUGAUAGUCCUGUGAUAAAAUAUCCUUCAAGCUUUAUCUGAACUAGGGCAGGUUUAACAAUCAUGCUGUGAUGUCGUUAAUGGAGAAAAAACAAAAUAUCCAUAUGUAGAUUGGACAGUGAAUUUUUUCAAUUCAGACAGAAUUGUCACUGAUGAGGUAUAUGUUUACAGAGCAUUGAUGGGGAUAAGUCGGAAUUAGGAAAAGGGUCAGUUUGAUUUGACUAAGAGGGGAUAAGAGGACAUUAUGGAAAAGCAUCGGUUUGCGUGUGUUGGAAUAGAAAUGUAACUGCCAAACAUGUUUGACUAUUAUAGUCUGAUUCAGUAUUCGGCAUGUGUAUGAUAAGAAGUGAUAUUCUCAUACCAGGUACUUUGGUGUGACCUUGAAAUUUGAACUACAUAUUCAAAUUUCAUUUGUAUGCUUUGUUAUGUGUAAUUGAUUUAUGUUUUAAUUUUAAGCUCUUAUGAAAUGAUUUGAAGUUUUAACUCGACACUUUUCUAACAACAGGUAACUGGUGCUUCUUAUGAUCAGAGUGGCACCGGUGGCACAGGUGCCACAGUUGUCUAAGGUGCCACAAUUCGCUGUGUAGAGUUGCCUCCCUUGGGCAUGCCAGAAACCUAUGAUUGUGGGUUCGAAUCCCGGUUUACCCUGAUUAUGUUUCUAGGUUUGUCAGCACCAUACCUGUGCUCCUGGGGGUCACCGAAGUGGUAUACAUCUGAGACCUGCAUCACUUCGGGCUUUCCUCCCACAUCAAGCUGACACGCCGUGAUAUAACUGGAAUACUGUUAAAGGGGCGUUAAACCCAACUCACUCACUGUUUAUGAUCAGGAAUACAAUGUUCUUGUAAAAGAGGUUUGCUCAGCUGUAGACAGCACAGAGAGUCUCACUGAUGUAGCAAGGCAGUACUGGGUUCAGGGGAAGUUAAUGCCUGUAUUAUGCCCUUAUGUUCAAUAAGCAGUUAUUCACGUUUGUGGACUGCUUCAAUUAAAAAAUGAAAUUUAAAAAAAACUGAGUGUGAAAUAAAUUAUAAAACAGUAUGUGUCAGUAAAAUGUGUGUAUUGUGUAUCUCAUCCCUUGGUAUAAUAUCCGGGUGCAUGCUGGUACAUUCUUGUUGGGCCUCACCCGGCGUUUGACAGUUUGCAAAACAUUUUUCUGGAUCAAGGACAUGUAAAAUUAUCCUAUUUUAAACUUUAAUGAAAUGAUUUGAAGUUUUAGCAGUACACUUUUCUAAGGUGCUGUUUAUGUUUAUAAUCAGGAAACAAUGUUCUUGAGAAAUAGGUAUUCUGGCAUGGAGAGACUGUAAACUUAAAGGCUGCUUAUGUAGGUGUUAAAAGUUAAAAAGACAGACUCUCUGUGCUGUAUCCAUCAUGUCAUCGUCAUAUGUGCCACUUUAUCACCACUGUUGCAACCUCACAGACCUCGGUCAAUAUAUAGGGGCGGUUGGGUAGCCUAGUGGUUAAAGCAUUCGCUCGUCACGCCGAAGACCUGGGUUUAAAUCCCAACAAGCGGCAUAAAAACUCACUCACUCACUCACUAUCGAUACAUAAACAAACUGAACUGAUAAAAAUAUUUUAUGUUUUAAACUUUUUAUCUAGUCUUUUUCAUAAUGCUUUUCAAUCUUUGUAAUUUUUAUGUUGUUACUUAGUUUUAGACUUGACAUGACUUGACAUGUACUAUUGUAUUUAAUUAAUGUGGCCCCGGAAUGUUUGCUUGGCAUUUACACUGUGAAAUGUAUUAUAUAUUUAUGACCGCAGGAGUGUUUGAUAGAACGUACUUGUACUGUUAUACAUGUUAUAUUUGAAGUGUAUAAAUAAUAGACUGUGAUAUGUACUUUCAUCCUGAUCUGUGCCGCCUUCAGUCCUCUGUGAUGGUGUGAGACUGCUUCACUCACACAUGUAAUUCAGUAUUCUCAACAUUAAACAGGGGCGGUCGGGUAGCCUAGUGGUUAAAGCGUUCGCUCGUCACGCUCGAUUCCCGACAUGGGUACAAUGUGUGAAGCCCAUUUCUGGUGUCCCCCGCCGUGAUAUUGCUGGAAUAUUGCUAAAAGCGGCGUAAAACCAUACUCACUCACACACUCACUCAACAUUAAACAGUUGGUGUCCUUUUGACCAGGAAACUCACCUGGGACUGUUGUACCGAUGUUACGGAUUGUUGGAGUAGAGCAUUCUGUAGGUCAGAAUUAUUGAUGAAUUUAAUUAAUGUCAGCAUACAACACUAAAUAUUUUAUAAGAUACAUAGAAAAACAAAAUUGAGUGACAAAUUCAUAGAGUGCUCAAGAAUCAUGAUAUUUCAGUUUUUUUAUUUACGUAUAUAUAAUUAACAUGCUGUUGAUAUUGUUUAUUUGUAGAUCAUGAAAUGUGCAAAUCGGGCACCUACCUAGGGUAGUGUACAAACAUUGUAACUCUAUCCAGUGGGACUAUGGGGGUGUGGGUACCUCCUCAAACAUGGGUGGAUUGGCUGGUUAUUCUAGAACAUGAAUUAGGGUUCAGCAAGCUAGGCUUUCUAAGAUGUAGGUAUAUAUUUAGUAGUAUACUAUGGGGAUUUAUCAAGGAACCAAACUAUGUUUCUUUGAAAAACGUACUGGCAAAUAAAAUCAUUAUUUUAUUCAAAUUUCUGAUUUUCUUAAUAAUAUGCAAUGAUAUGAAACUGGAUGAAAGCCUCUCACUCUAUGGUCAUGUUAUCGGUGAAAUACAAGUCACAAACGGCAGUUUGUUAUUCCUGGAAUUUGUAUUGAGACCAAACAUUGUUUCAGCUACAGCUGCGAAAACAGAUAUUUUUUUUUCUUAAAACUAUGAGCCCAAAUAUAUUUUUCUAAAAGGCACAUUACAACAAAGAAUGUUUUGUGGCAGGCAAUUUUUUUUGUCCAACAAUAUGAAGCAUGAUUAUUUUUUGUAAGAAUAUUUGGAGGCAAUCUACCUUUUUUGACCCCCUGCAGCCCCUAACAUGCAAUAUAUACACAUUGUUACAAAAUAUUCCCUACAUGUGUAUCUGUUACUCAACAUCUUAUGCAUCUGAAGUUUAAUUGGGUUUGUAUUGAUACACUAUUGGUUUACUAAAAGGCAAGGUCAUAUAUGCAAAAGAAAACAACAUCAGUAUUACUGGUAAAAAUUGAAUAUUUGUCUAUGUUAAUUACCAUUAAGGGGCGGUCGGGUAGCCUAGUGGUUAAAGUGUUCGCUCGUCACGCCGAAGAUCCGGGUUCGAUUCCCGACAUGGGUACAAUGUGUGAAGCCCAUUUCUGGUGUCCCCCGCCGUGAUAUUGCUGGGAUAUUGCUAAAAGCGGCGUAAAACCAUACUCACUCACUCACUAAUUACCAUUAACUAAGCAUUGACAAUGAUCAGAAAUAUUUGAAAUAGUGCAUUGCUUGUCCAACUGCGGUUGGCUGAUGUGAUUGAGUUAAAGAAUUUGAUUUGUUUCUGAAGGUUUCAAUUUGUGUUUCUAUUUAUCAAUUAGUGAACGUUCACAUGAUCAUGGAGGACUGAAGCCCACAGUUGAGUGUCUAACACUGUCAUUGUUUUAGAUUCUCAAGCAAUUUUACAUAUGCUGGUAAUCAUCAUAAAGAAAAUAUUGUACAACAGUAGAUGAAAUGCCAUUUGGUAAUAAAAAUACCACAAACUUGUUUUAUAAAAAUAUGUUGUUGCCUUUUUCAGCAUUUUGCCUGAGUGCACUUGUACAACAGAGAAAAAGUCAUCUUUAUCUUUGGUUAUUUCUUGAGAAUAGAAGCCGACAAUAUGAACUUUAGCUUGAACAGCUGGUACUACUGGACACACAGUGUGUAUUCAUAAUUAGACAAAAAAAACACACACAAGUAUAAGAUAAAACAACACACACACAAGCAUUAGAUAAAACAUGUACAAAAGUA
Molecule: long non-coding RNA, 4562 nt
Filed under: Haliotis rufescens (red abalone)
Lineage: Eukaryota; Metazoa; Mollusca; Gastropoda; Lepetellida; Haliotidae
Description: uncharacterized LOC125381031
Source: RNAcentral